AUCGCGACACUCGUUCGAGGUGUCCGGCGGCGUGCUCAUCGACGCCGGAUGAAACGGGAAAGAGGUGCGGCCGCGGCAACGAACCUUGCGCGUUUGUCUGCCCGGCCCAAGCCUCUGCUGCCCCCGCAACGGUAAGUGUGCGCGGGCGCAUCUAUUCAAGCGGCCUGGUCCGCCAAGCGCGAUUUGCGCCUCGGUAGACCGGCCCGGCCACUGCGAGCUCGCGCUUGCGGGAAGGCGAUGCGCCCGAUCCCAUCAGCCCGGAGACCGGCCUCGAACGAUGGCGGAGU
Molecule: non-coding RNA, 287 nt
Organism: Betaproteobacteria bacterium RBG_16_64_9
Lineage: Bacteria; Pseudomonadati; Pseudomonadota; Betaproteobacteria
Source: Rfam